Molecule: ribosomal RNA, 375 nt
Filed under: uncultured bacterium
Lineage: Bacteria
Description: bacterial SSU rRNA
Rfam family: Bacterial small subunit ribosomal RNA
Source: RNAcentral
AACGAACGCUGGCGGCAGGCCUAACACAUGCAAGUCGAACGCCGUAGCAAUACGGAGUGGCAGACGGGUGAGUAACACGUGGGAACGUACCCUUCGGUUCGGAAUAACUCAGGGAAACUUGAGCUAAUACCGGAUACGUCCGAGAGGAGAAAGAUUUAUCGCCGAGGGAUCGGCCCGCGUCUGAUUAGCUUGUUGGUGAGGUAACGGCUCACCAAGGCGACGAUCAGUAGCUGGUCNGAGAGGAUGAUCAGCCACAUUGGGACUGAGACACGGCCCAAACUCCUACGGGAGGCAGCAGUGGGGAAUAUUGGACAAUGGGCGCAAGCCUGAUCCAGCCAUGCCGCGUGAGUGAUGAAGGCCCUAGGGUUGUAAAGC